GUCAGGAAAAGCUUUAGCAGAAAUUAUUUAACUGUGUGUUGAGAUGGAGCAUUGAAGUGACUGUAGGUAGUGGGAGGAUAGCUUGGCAUCCAAGGAAGAGAGCCCAUACGUUAAUAUGUAUGGAUCAGCAUGGAUAAAACAAAAUACAUCUUUUAUCUCUGGUGCUUUCACUCUGCUCUUGGUUUGGCUGUGUCUUCCUCCUGGCCUCGUGUCUGUUGUUGCCCACAGCUGUCAUUGCAAUGUGGGUUUGACUGCCCCUUUGUUCAGUGUUCAACACAUCUCUCAGGACAUACUCCUGUGUGGCUUCCCUGAAUUCCUUUUCUUUGGUACUGUGAAAACAUUCCUGAAUGUUUCAGGUAAAUUUAGUCCUCUCUCUCUCUCUAAAGAUACUGGUCUGAGCUUUUUUGUGGGAAAUUACGAGUAGCUUUGUACUCAGCAUCUCUUAGGAUCAAGGUGUUUUAGGAAUCUGUUGAGCAUCAUCACUCUCUGUCAUUUCCCUUCAUGCCUGAGGGCCCCAGGUUGGAUUUGACACCUGAGAUAAAUGUUGCCUCAGCCUUUGGAGAGUUGAGCUGGAAGGCAGAGUAGCAGCGCCAGCUCUGGAGAGUCAAGGCAGCAAGAAAAAGAGAAAGAAAAAGGAGCAACAUCAGCACAGGAUGCAACAUAUUGGAAAUGGAAGAGAACUGGAAAAGAGCCAAAACUACAAACAUGGGGAAAAAACAAAAGAAGAGCAAAGAAAAAGAAAAAGAUGACCAGCAGGUUCAAUGAAAGUGUCACAUCAAGUUAAAUAGGUUGUGGUUUUCUUUUCACAAAGAUCAAGCACCUUCUAUACAGAUACAAGACAUGUCCCACCUAUGAACCUGGUCUUGUUUGCUGGACCAUACAGGAGCAAGAGGCAUCGAUCUCAUCCGGGAAAACAAUUGAAAGUCACAUCUGGCAGGCCUACAAAGAAAACACAGGAACACUGACAUCAGGAAAACAGCAUUGUAUGAAAGGUGAUAAAGAAGAAGUAAUCUAAAGCUGGGAAGGUAUUCUGCAUUUCUGCAUGUCCAUCAGCUGGAAAAGCCAAGAUGCUGC
This is a long non-coding RNA of Melozone crissalis (California towhee), 1074 nucleotides long. RefSeq lists it as uncharacterized. The record is from RefSeq and is a predicted model, not a curated record. The transcript has 5 exons. NCBI's taxonomy places the organism in Eukaryota, Metazoa, Chordata, Aves, Passeriformes, Passerellidae.